Molecule: ribosomal RNA, 419 nt
Filed under: uncultured bacterium
Lineage: Bacteria
Description: bacterial SSU rRNA
Rfam family: Bacterial small subunit ribosomal RNA
Source: RNAcentral
UGGGGAAUUUUGCGCAAUGGGCGAAAGCCUGACGCAGCAACGCCGCGUGGAGGAUGAAGGCCUUCGGGUCGUAAACUCCUGUCAGUGGGGACGAAGGCCCCGAUGAGGGGAUUGACUGUACCUGCUGAGGAAGCCACGGCUAACUCCGUGCCAGCAGCCGCGGUAAUACGGAGGUGGCAAGCGUUGUUCGGAAUUACUGGGCGUAAAGGGCGCGUAGGCGGCAUGGCAAGUCGGAUGUGAAAUCCCCGGGCUCAACUCGGGAAUUGCAUCCGAAACUGCAGUGCUUGAGUUCUGGAGGGGAUAGUGGAAUUCCCAGUGUAGCGGUGAAAUGCGUAGAUAUUGGGAGGAACACCUGCGGCGAAGGCGGCUAUCUGGACAGAGACUGACGCUGAUGCGCGAAAGCCAGGGGAGCGAACGGG